UUAUCUGGUUGAUCCUGCCAGUAGUCAUACGCUCGUCUCAAAGAUUAAGCCAUGCAUGUGUAAGUAUAAAUAGUUAACUUUGAAACUGCGAAUGGCUCAUUAUAUCAGUUAUAGUUUAUUUGAUGAAGAAUAAUAAUUGGAUAACCGUAGUAAUUCUAGAGCUAAUACAUGUAUAAAGUCUUGUAGACUGCAUUUAUUAGAAUGAAAACCAUAGGUUUCGGCCUAUUCGUGAGUAAUAAUAACUAAUCAUAUCGUAUGCUUAUGUAACGAUGUGUCUUUCAAGUUUCUGCCCUAUCAGCUUUCGAUGGUAGUGUAUUGGCCUCCCAUGGCAGUAACGGGUAACGAAGAAUUUGGGUUCGAUUUCGGAGAGGGAGCCUGAGAGAUGGCUACCACAUCCAAGGAAGGCAGCAGGCGCGUAAAUUACCCAAUCCUGACGCAGGGAGGUAGUGACAAUAAAUCACAAUGCGGCUCAAUGUUUUGCAAUUGGAUUGAGUACAACGUACAACCCUUAUCGAUAAACAAUUGGAGGGCAAGUCUGGUGCCAGCAGCCGCGGUAAUCCAGCUCCA
Molecule: ribosomal RNA, 567 nt
Filed under: Blastocystis hominis
Lineage: Eukaryota; Bigyra; Opalinata; Blastocystidae
Description: SSU rRNA
Rfam family: Eukaryotic small subunit ribosomal RNA
Source: RNAcentral